This 230-nucleotide unclassified non-coding RNA is filed under the name Hevea brasiliensis (rubber tree). Lineage: Eukaryota; Viridiplantae; Streptophyta; Magnoliopsida; Malpighiales; Euphorbiaceae. The record is from RNAcentral.
CUACCAUCUCCCUUCUGGCAUUCUUCAUUGGAUACCUCAUGACUAGAAUUGCUAUGGCACUGCCACAUGCUUGUGUGAGCUGCUACUACGUUUGCUAUGCAGAAAAUCCCGAGAACAGAUUGUUUGAUAAAACCAUGAAAGAUCGCCAGAACUUGUUGAAAUCCGGCCGCGAUGUGGUCGUUCCUACUCCUCGGGCCCCCCAUCGACUUAGCUCAUAAACUAAGGCGAGA